Spodoptera frugiperda (fall armyworm) is the source of this 4454-nucleotide RNA transcript. RefSeq lists it as uncharacterized. The transcript has 5 exons. The record is from RefSeq and is a predicted model, not a curated record. Lineage: Eukaryota; Metazoa; Arthropoda; Insecta; Lepidoptera; Noctuidae.
CAUUUGGAAGUGGAACGUAUCUUAAAGCUUAAAGUUGUGUGCUGUCAUCUGUCAUGUGUUGUGUCAGUGUCAACAUUUGUUGUUAUGAGUUUGAUAAUUUUUAGCAAAAAGUGUUGACUGUUGUGUACGUGCUAAAUGCUUUAGGUUUUUUCUUAAGUGUAAAAUAACUGUGAUUUCUUUCCUGCAAGAUACAACUAUGUUAUGAAGUGUAACCAGUAGAAAAAUAAUUGCUGUGUAAAAGUUAUAAUUUAUAUGCACGAGGCAGUUGUAUAACCGAGGUGUUUAACAAAUGGUGAUGGCCACGGGUGGCGUGUGUCAACAAGUUGCCGGUGUUGGCCUGCCUCACGAGAUGGGUGAAGACAAAGAGGAGGCUGCUUCGAAGGCGAUGGUGCUCCACGAGCGACUCGUGGCCUACGUACACGCACUGGCCGGCGGACACGAGCCGCGCUGCGGGGUGUGGGUGGAGCACUCGUACGCGCGCGCGCGCGGCGCCGCCACCGGACCCACGCACUCCGUGCGCGUGCUACUGGCGCCGCGCCCCGCGCCCGACUCCGCGCCGCUCGACGUGGAGCGCCUCGAGCCCGCGCCGCCCGACCUGCCCGACGACGACGAGGCGCUGCGACUGCUCGCGGACGACGACGCCGACGGGGAAGACGACGACUGGGAGGCGCGCCUCACCGCCGCGGCGCCCACGGCCGCGCACGCGCGCCUCGCCGACUCCGUGCUGGACAUCCUGCGGCGCGCGCGCCUCGAGCUGCUGGCGGGCGGCCGCGCCGGCGACUCCGUGCGCACCGCCGCGCGCCGCCUGCGGCUGGCACUGGCCGCGCCCCCGCGCCCCCGCACACUCCGCAGCCGUGCUGCGCCCCGCUGCUUGGCUGCAGGCGCAGCUACCGCGCGGUCCGCGCAGAUUGUACGAGGCGGCGUUAGCCCGUCUGCGCCGCGUCGCUCCGCGCCUGGCUGAGCGCGUCACGGGCACCCAAGGGCCGGUGGCGAGUGACAGUGUGUUGAGUGAAGUGGGCGCGAGCGUGGGCGAGGGCGCGGCGGGCGCGCCCUGGUUGCUGUGGGUGAGCUGCGGCCGGCCGCGGCAGGACGAGCGCUGGCUGCGGCGCCUGGGGGCGCUGAUACACACACGCCUGGUGACGGCGGGCGCCGGGGGCGCAGCGCUGGCGCCCGAGGCGUGGUGCGGCGCGGUAGCGGGCGGGCUGCGCGCAGCGCUGACGGCGGCGCUGGGCGCGGCGGGCGAGCGGCCCGUGGUGCUGGGCGGGCUGGGCGCGGGCGCGACGCUGGCGGCGGCGCUGGCUGGGGGCACGCGCGCGCGGGCGCUGGUGCUGCUGGCGCCGGCGCUGGUGACGGCGGAGGGCGCGCGCGAGGCGGCGGACGAGGCGGGGGGCGCGCGCCUGCCGGUGCUGGUGGUGUGCGGGGCGGGGGGCGCGCAGUGCUGGCGGGGCGCGGCGCGCGACGUGUCGCGGCGCGUGCUGGAGCUGCGCGGCGCGGACGACUGGCUGCGGCUGGGGGCGGGGGCGCGGCGCCGGCGCCGCCUGCCGCAGCACGCGGUGGACGCGGCCGUGGCGGAGGAAUGCGCACGCUGGAUACUGGACGUGGCCCUGAGCGGGGGCGGGGGCGCGACUGGGGGCACAGGGGCGGGUACGCGGCGCCGCGAGGGGCGCGGUCUGCUACGGGUGCUGGGGGCGCCAGAAGAGGAGGACGAGGACUUCGCACACUUACCGAGCGCGGCGCCGGCACCUUCCACUCCCACCGGACCUCUACCCUCCGUCAGCGAGCGGGGCGGGGACGCCGCGCUAGUGUCGCGCGGGUGUGGCGCCACGCCCCUCGCCCUGCUGCCGCCGCGGCGCCGCGCCUCGCCGCCGGCCGCGGGGGCGCGGGGGCUGCCGGGGGCGCGGGGGGCGCGGCCGAGCUGGGCGCCGCGGACAUCAUGCGGCUGCCCAUCGUGUUCGCGGACGACGAGGCGGCGCUGGAAGCCGACGCGGGCGCCAGCCCCGUCACCGUCACGUCGGGCUCGCGCUACACGCGCGUCAUCGUAGCGUCGCGCGGCCCCGUGCGGCCCGGCCGGGGCCCCGGCCGCUCUGUGGGCCCCGUGCGCCCGGUGUUACUACGUCGGGGCUUGAGGCUGGUGCCACGCAACGCCACUCCGCCGCAGUGAUCAGCCGGGCCCCACAGUGACCAGCCGGGCCCCACAGUGAACUGCUGAACCCCGCGCCAGUGAACUGAAUAGCAAGAUCCCAAAAGACAUUUUCAUGCUCAGCAUUUAUGAUAAAUUUUGUAUAAUUUGAAAUUGGUACCUAAAUAAUUAAUAAUAAAUAAUUAAUAUGUAAUAAUUUGAUUCGUUUUACUUUUGAUGCGUUUUAACUACGAUCCCAAACCGCUCGCCGACUUACCUGACAUUUGAUAAUAUAUCAUAGUUAAUGUUUAGAAUAAAAAUAUGUCUUGGUUGUGAAAAUAAGUAUAGUAAGUUACCCAAAUAAGGCCUAUGCCCCAAUAAAGCCUAUUUUGAAAAUUUCCCUCUUCCCGAUUUCAAAUGGUCGCCAAAGUUUGUAGAAGUGUGCAUGCACGUUACUUAACUAAUUUGAGCACAGCAAGCAACCGGUGCCGCGAUUGUAUUGGAACCUACAGUCGAAAACAAUCACGACGUGGAGCGCACUUUAGUUUUUAUAAAAUUCGAGUAGCGUAAACUGUUAGUAUUUUUAUAUUUAUCAGUAUACGACUUGCCGUGUUUUGUCUGUAUGACAAUUAUACAUUUAGUCAUCCCCUCACAUAAGUGAAAUAGCUAUAAUAUCGGUGUAUUUCAUAUAAUCGUUGUUUUGUUUACCUAUGUGCCAUGCCCUAAUAAAGCCUACAAAAAAAACGUGUAGGCCUUAUUACGGCAUAGUUGUUUUUCAGUAAUCUCAUAGAAAACGGAUCACCAGCUUAUGUCAAAAAGAAAGCCAAUGGAUUUUGCAAAAGAUGGAAAACGCUGUUAAAAUGGUAGAAAGGGGUAAACGGGGUGAAUAGAUACAGAAAAGGGGUGAAUAGAUACAGAAAAGGGGUGAAUGGAUAUAGGGAAAUUCUUCAUAGUAUCUAUUCAACCUUCGAAUUUUAUGCACCCUGUUUUACCCGGUAGGCUGCUGCAGCCAGAUAUAACUUCCAAAGAAGUACGCACCAUCUAAAGAGUGGUUCGACUACACGAAAGCUAGGUCGGUCGCUAAAUUGGCUACAGAACAAGAAGUUAUUCUCAUUCGUUUGACUGAUGCUGGGGUACCGAUGACUUCAAAGAUGUUACUUGGGUAUUACAUGAUGAGAAACUCGUUUAGCCUGAUGUAUAAUGACCAAAAUUAAUUAAUAAGAUCUCAUUACAUUUAUUAUAAGCAUUGACAAAGUUUUGUUAUAAUUAAUAAAUAAAUAAAUAAAAAAUAAAUUGUAUACUUUAGUUAUUUCCAUAUGGUAUGUCAUAUGGUAUUCUCCUGUGGGGGAAUGCUGCUGACAUUCAGUCUGUCUUUGUGCUGCAGAAGCGAGCCAUUCGAUCAAUUUAUAAUCUUAGUCCGAGGCAUUUUCUCAGGGAACUAUUUAAAGAAAUUAAUAUAAUGACUGUUGCCUCUCAAUAUAUCUAUGAAAAUAUAGUGUAUGCUCAUAAAAACAUAAAAUUAUUUAAAAAGUACAGUGAUAUACACAAUAUCAACACUAGAAAUAAAAAUAAAUAUGUUGUUCCUACUACUAGACUUAAGAAAAUAAGCGGUUCGUUUAGAUGUCAAUGUAUACGCUUUUACAAUAAAGUUCCCAGCCAUAUUCAAAGUUUAAACCUAAGUAAAUUUAAAAAUGUUAUUAAAGAAAAACUAUGUAGUAAAGCUUUUUAUAAAAUAAAAGACUACUUGGAGGAUAGUCAGGCUUGGGAAUGAACUGCUAUAAUGUCCACACAGGUCUUGCUGACAUGUUUGUAACAUAUAGUUACAUUUUUUAUACAAUUUGACAUUGUUUUUAUAUAUAUUUUUUUCCUUUUAUAAUUUUAUAUUUCCUUUUAAAAUUGUUAGUUUGAGGACCGUGUGAGACUUUUGCUAGUCAUUUUAUUUUUAGUAAAUUAUAUUCUGACAGUUUGAGCAUUUGUGUGGCCUACCCAAAUGUUCUUUUGGUUGGUGUUGUUCGUCGGAUCAUUCAGCAACAGCCGUCAGCUGAGCUGAUUGUAAACUGACACAUGCGUGCUGCCAUCUGAACAGGUCCGCUCAAACUGCUGUGGUUCUUUCCUCAAAAGACCACUACAGAAUCAACUUGCACGGUUCUCCGACAUCUUUAAUUGAUUUUGUCUGGACUUUAAAAGAGACUAUGACCUCUGAGUUUGUUUCGGCAUUUCUUCUCAGAGUAGUCGGAUAGGAAAUGCCGGCCUCAUCUAGUUAUUUAAGAGAUUGACGUGUAAAAGUGUUAUUUUAUAACCUAUUUGCAAAAUAAAUAUCAUUUAUCAUUAAGAA